RNAcentral lists this ribosomal RNA (785 nucleotides) under uncultured Glomus. Its description in RNAcentral is "SSU rRNA". It matches the Rfam family "Eukaryotic small subunit ribosomal RNA", at positions 325 to 1111 of the family's 1831-position model. The record is from RNAcentral. Lineage: Eukaryota; Fungi; Glomeromycota; Glomeromycetes; Glomerales; Glomeraceae.
AUGGUAGGAUAGAGGCCUACCAUGGUGGUAACGGGUAACGGGGUGUUAGGGCACGACACCGGAGAGGGAGCCUGAGAAACGGCUACCACAUCCAAGGAAGGCAGCAGGCGCGCAAAUUACCCAAUCCCGACACGGGGAGGUAGUGACAAUAAAUAACAAUACAGGGUUCUUUGAAUCUUGUAAUUGGAAUGAGUACAAUUUAAAUCUCUUAACGAGGAACAAUUGGAGGGCAAGUCUGGUGCCAGCAGCCGCGGCAAUUCCAGCUCCAAUAGCGUAUAUUAAAGUUGUUGCAGUUAAAAAGCUCGUAGUUGAAUUUCGGGAUCAAUACGUCGGUCGUGCUUUNGGGUACGUACCGGCGUCAUUGGUUUCUCCUUUCUGACGAACCAUGAUGUCAUUAAUUUGGUGUUAUGGGGAGUUAGGACUGUUACUUUGAAAAAAUUAGAGUGUUUAAAGCAGGCAUUAGCUUGAAUACAUUAGCAUGGAAUAAUGAAAUAGGACGUUCGAUCCUAUUUUGUUGGUUUCUAGGAUCAACGUAAUGAUUAAUAGGGAUAGUUGGGGGCAUUAGUAUUCAAUUGUCAGAGGUGAAAUUCUUGGAUUUAUUGAAGACUAACUGCUGCGAAAGCAUUUGCCAAGGAUGUUUUCAUUAAUCAAGAACGAAAGUUAGGGGAUCGAAGACGAUCAGAUACCGUCGUAGUCUUAACCAUAAGCUAUGCCGACUAGGGAUCGGAUGAUGUUAAUUUUUUAAUGACUCAUUCGGCGCCUUACGGGAAACCAAAGUGUUUGGG